This is a small nuclear RNA of Peromyscus leucopus (white-footed mouse), 104 nucleotides long. The record is from RefSeq and is a predicted model, not a curated record. NCBI's taxonomy places the organism in Eukaryota, Metazoa, Chordata, Mammalia, Rodentia, Cricetidae.
GUGUUUGCUUCAGCAUAUAUAUUAAAAUUGGAAUGAUAUGGAGAAGAUUAGUAUGGCCCCUGAGCAAGGAUGACACACAAUUCGUAAAGAGUUCCAAAUUUUUU